AUGCCCUGUUCCAACAAAGACGCUGGCAGCGACGGCAGCGUGGUAACUCUACCCAGGGCUCUCAAGCUGCGGUUGGUGAGUUUCCAGCAGGAAAGUCAAUCAGUAAACAGCCCCGUGCGCCCCCAGUUCCACUCCCCACCCCCUUCAUUUUCCCUGGGCUGGCUGGGAACCUCACCCAGACACCAACAUAUCCCGCCCUCUCUCAGGCUCCCCGGCCGCGAUCGGAGAAGGGAACUGCAACAAGACUAUUGUGGCAGGGCCUGGGCUCUGGAAACAGUUCUCCUCCCUUCUCCGCCCCCCCUCCCCGAACCACUCUACCCCCACUGCCGCCUUGGCCCCUGGAGUUGGUGUUCUGAAGGAGAGGCGCGGGGUGCAGAGAGAAGGGGAGGGCAAACUGCCGCCCCCCACCCCACCCCCUCCUAGUUGAAUGUCAGCUUUGUUCCGGAAAACAAGGGAAGCAUUAGGCUGCUGCCCCCGGGGGAAACACAAAACUUCUUUUUGAAUCUCUGGAAGGACGGCUGACUGCGCUACGGGGCUCCUGGGAGAGAGGCCGAGACAGGAGAGGGAGCUAGCAGGGAAAAGAGUGCAGAAGAGAAGACACGGGGAGACACUCAACUGAGAGACAGAGACAAAGGCGAGCGAGUCGAAGAAAGAACGAGUAAGACGGAGACUAAAGGAGAAUUACACGGAAGGGGAGAAACCCUGGGAGACAGUGAAUCCUCGGCCGUGACAUAGAACAAGAGGAGAGGCCAAGUCUGGCCGGGAGGUGGGGGAGGGGAGCGGCGAACUAAGUCUCCGGCCAGCUCGAGUUCGGCGCAAAGGUGCUGUUCUGCCGAGAGACCGGCCCCGGCCAAGUGGCUGUUACCCAGCCGAGUGUAUGCGCGCCAGCUUCCUGCCCGGCCCCGAGCGGAGGAGCAGCCUGGGACGCUGCAGGCUCGGCCGGAAUCGCUGGGAGGCCGGGAAGCCGCGAGCAUUCACCGAGAAGUGGCACUUUGCCAUCCUGGGGAUGGAAGCGGCCUCGCUAGACCAGGCCUAAAAACCAUGAACCAAAGACACCAGCUCUAGCUCCAGAAUUAGCCACCCCUCUAUCCCGCACCACACUUCGUGGCAGCCGCACUCCGGGGGUUCCUUUCCUCCCUUCCCCCUCCUCCCCACGUUCUCCCGCUCCUGGGCCCCAUCACUGGUAAAAUGAAAGGGAAAAGGCUGUUAACAACUCUCUGUAGGAAACCUGGAAUUGGUCUUAGUCUCUGGGCUUGAUCCUUUGCACCCACUUAGUGUUGCAGGUUGCUUUGCCUCCCAGAGGAGCAAAAGGGGAAGCUUCCAGAGUUGAAGUGGUUCACAGAAAGAUGAUCCUGUAGUAAGUGAAUCCUCCAGCAAAUGUUAACGUAUAUUUAUUUUUCCAUUGAUGGUUUUAAUAUUCGCAAUCCUGGCCUCAGAGUGCAAAUGAACUCUUUAUCUGGGGGCAAGAAUUACAGUUUGCUUGAACUCACUUCCCCCCUCAUUCCCCUACUCCUUGGUUUCCCUGCUAGAUUUUCAAAACCCACUUUCUCCAGGGCUGUCUUUCUGAGAACUUUGACCCUGACCAGGGCCUAAGUCCUUGGCUAUAUCCAUGCGGUAGAGGCGAGAACGUUUUCCAUGCGUUCUCCCCUCUGACUCAGUAAUUCAGUUUGAGAACGAGAUUCUCCGCGUCUCCCUCUUCUCCUCCCCCCCCUCCCACCCCCGCCUUAACUCACUUGGUUUUUAACUUCCCCUAAAUCUCCCUUCUUGCUCAGAAAGGCACAGAGGAGGGGAAACCGAGAGGAAACACGCUGCCGCUGUGCGAAAUGCGGACCAUGUGUGGGAACGAUCCAGUCAAAGUGCAACUGCCAGCCAGGGGCAGUUGUGUGGGGGUGGGGCGGGAAGGGGAGAUUGGUUCUGAGUGUGGAAAGGGAGGGUCUGGGAGCUGGUUUAGGGAGAGGGGCGUCGGUGGGAGCGACAGAGCAGCAGACACUUUUAUUCUUCCGGGUGGGCAGACGUUAGACUCUCCCCGCCCCCAGCCCCCAUUCUUGUUAAGAAUCCUUUCUCUCGUGUCUUUUAUGGUAGGUGAUGAGCUAUGGAGGCUGCCGAAGUAAUAUCAGCAGUAGUGAGAUUAAGCUAAAGGAUACACUCUAGUUUACAGAGCUGAGGCAGCGGCCUAGGGUGAAAGAGCAAAAGGCCCUCUUUUCGACAGUUCAGAGGCUAGAAGGUUAUAGCAGCUUGAGUAUCAACAAAGGGAGACUGGGAAGAGAGAAGAGCCAGGGAAUGGAAGAUGAGCCACUGGGAGAGGAAGAGGGGGCAGCUGCUAAGAGCUCUCUGGCUGCUGUGGAAUAAUAAAAAAUAAUUAAUAAUGAUAAUAAGAAAAAAUCCCCGGGCUUUUAUUUCUAUAGAUUUCAUAUGGCUGUAUUAGGAAAUGUGCUGCCCUUGAAGCGGCCUCUUUUGCUUGCCCAGUUCUCUUCCUUACACCCACACCCACCCCCUUCCUGAGGAAGGGAAAGAGAAAGGGCUGCAGCUGACAAAUAUUAUCCAUUCUCCCCAUCGAUCGGAACAUAUACAGAUGUGAGAGCUUGAUGUGAGCUGCGAACCGGUGGAUCCACCCUUCUUUCUCUCCCGCUCUCUCUCCCCCUCCCGGAGGUUCAGGCUCGCCGCCCCCUUCUCCUUCCCCCCCCCCCUUUGUUCUCCUCCCCUUUCUCUCUCUUUAAAUAGAUUUCAAGGCGCUGCCUGUUGGAGAG
This is a long non-coding RNA of Sarcophilus harrisii (Tasmanian devil), 2747 nucleotides long. The record is from Ensembl. NCBI's taxonomy places the organism in Eukaryota, Metazoa, Chordata, Mammalia, Dasyuromorphia, Dasyuridae.